This 174-nucleotide ribosomal RNA is filed under the name uncultured Cetobacterium sp. RNAcentral's name for it is "partial 16S rRNA". It matches the Rfam family "Bacterial small subunit ribosomal RNA", at positions 337 to 524 of the family's 1533-position model. The record is from RNAcentral. Lineage: Bacteria; Fusobacteriati; Fusobacteriota; Fusobacteriia; Fusobacteriales; Fusobacteriaceae.
UCCUACGGGAGGCAGCAGUGGGGAAUAUUGGACAAUGGGCCACAAGCCUGAUCCAGCAAUUCUGUGUGCACGAUGAAGGUCUUCGGAUCGUAAAGUGCUUUCAGUUGGGAAGAAGAAAGUGACGGUACCAACGGAAGAAGCGACGGCUAAAUACGUGCCAGCAGCCGCGGUAAU